RNAcentral lists this ribosomal RNA (109 nucleotides) under Aurelia sp. 9 sensu Dawson et al. (2005). RNAcentral describes it as "partial 5.8S ribosomal RNA". It matches the Rfam family "5.8S ribosomal RNA", at positions 1 to 109 of the family's 154-position model. From Rfam's summary of the family: 5.8S ribosomal RNA (5.8S rRNA) is a component of the large subunit of the eukaryotic ribosome. It is transcribed by RNA polymerase I as part of the 45S precursor that also contains 18S and 28S rRNA. Functionally, it is thought that 5.8S rRNA may be involved in ribosome translocation. The record is from RNAcentral. Lineage: Eukaryota; Metazoa; Cnidaria; Scyphozoa; Semaeostomeae; Ulmaridae.
AACUUGUAACGGUGGAUCUCUUGGCUCGUGCAUCGAUGAAGAACGCAGCCAGCUGCGAUAAGUAGUGUGAAUUGCAGAACUCAGCGAAUCAUCGAAUCUUUGAACGCAA